This 253-nucleotide ribosomal RNA is filed under the name uncultured bacterium. RNAcentral describes it as "partial 16S ribosomal RNA". It matches the Rfam family "Bacterial small subunit ribosomal RNA", at positions 524 to 776 of the family's 1533-position model. The record is from RNAcentral.
UACGGAGGGUGCAAGCGUUGUUCGGAAUUACUGGGCGUAAAGAGCGUGUAGGCGGCUGACUAAGUCCGGUGUGAAAGCCCGGGGCUUAACCCCGGAAGUGCGCUGGAUACUGGCCGACUAGAGUAUGGGAGAGGGAAGUGGAAUUCCUGGUGUAGCGGUGAAAUGCGUAGAUAUCAGGAGGAACACCGGCGGCGAAGGCGGCUUCCUGGACCAAUACUGACGCUGAGACGAGAAAGCGUGGGGAGCAAACAGG